UAGGGAAUCUUCGGCAAUGGACGAAAGUCUGACCGAGCAACGCCGCGUGAGUGAAGAAGGUUUUCGGAUCGUAAAACUCUGUUGUUAGAGAAGAACAAGGACGUUAGUAACUGAACGUCCCCUGACGGUAUCUAACCAGAAAGCCACGGCUAACUACGUGCCAGCAGCCGCGGUAAUACGUAGGUGGCAAGCGUUGUCCGGAUUUAUUGGGCGUAAAGCGAGCGCAGGCGGUUUCUUAAGUCUGAUGUGAAAGCCCCCGGCUCAACCGGGGAGGGUCAUUGGAAACUGGGAGACUUGAGUGCAGAAGAGGAGAGUUGAAUUCCAUGUGUAGCGGUGAAAUGCGUAGAUAUAUGGAGGAACACCAGUGGCGAAGGCGGCUCUCUGGUCUGUAACUGACGCUGAGGCUCGAAAGCGUUGGGAGCAAACAGG
RNAcentral lists this ribosomal RNA (429 nucleotides) under Gemmatimonadota bacterium. RNAcentral's name for it is "Gemmatimonadetes bacterium partial 16S ribosomal RNA". It matches the Rfam family "Bacterial small subunit ribosomal RNA", at positions 355 to 776 of the family's 1533-position model. Lineage: Bacteria; Pseudomonadati; Gemmatimonadota. The record is from RNAcentral.